UACGUAGGUGACGAGCGUUAUCCGGAUUUAUUGGGCGUAAAGCGCACGCAGGCGGCAGAGAAAGUCUGACGUGAAAUCUCCCGGCUUAACUGGGAGCGGUCGUUGGAAACUACUUGGCUUGAGGCGAUGAGAGGGGUGUGGAAUUCCCGGUGUAGUGGUGGAAUGCGUAGAUAUCGGGGGGAACAUCAGUGGCGAAAGCGGCACCCUGGCAUUAGCCUGACGCUCAUGUGCGAAAGCGUGGGGAGCGAACGGG
RNAcentral lists this ribosomal RNA (253 nucleotides) under uncultured bacterium. RNAcentral describes it as "partial 16S ribosomal RNA". It matches the Rfam family "Bacterial small subunit ribosomal RNA", at positions 524 to 776 of the family's 1533-position model. The record is from RNAcentral. RNAcentral also lists the same sequence under 1 other name.